AAGUCGUAACAAGGUUUCCGUAGGUGAACCUGCGGAAGGAUCAUUAUUGUCUACGUGGCCUUCGGGCCCCAAACACAAUAACCCUUGUCUUUUUUUGUGCACCCUUUGUUUCCUCGGCAGCUUUGCCUGCCAACGAGGACCCCCCAAAAACCUUUUGCAAUCUUAGUAUAACAAUCUGAAAACAAACAAUAUUAAAACUUUCAACAAUGGAUCUCUUGGCUCUG
RNAcentral lists this unclassified non-coding RNA (224 nucleotides) under Lophiostoma coronillae. Its description in RNAcentral is "Sigarispora coronillae partial internal transcribed spacer region". The stretch from base 1 to 46 matches the Rfam family "Eukaryotic small subunit ribosomal RNA", at positions 1786 to 1831 of the family's 1831-position model. Lineage: Eukaryota; Fungi; Ascomycota; Dothideomycetes; Pleosporales; Lophiostomataceae. The record is from RNAcentral.